GACGAACGCUGACGGCGCGCCUAACACAUGCAAGUCGAACGGAGUCAAGAGGAGCUUGCUUUUCUUGACUUAGUGGCGAACGGGUGAGUAACGCGUGAGUAACCUGCCCUGGAGUGGGGGACAACAGUUGGAAACGACUGCUAAUACCGCAUAAGCCCACGGAUCUGCAUGGAUCUGCGGGAAAAGGAUUUAUUCGCUCUAGGAUGGACUCACGUCCAAUUAGCUAGUUGGUGAGGUAACGGCCCACCAAGGCGACGAUUGGUAGCCGGACUGAGAGGUUGAACGGCCACAUUGGGACUGAGACACGGCCCAGACUCCUACGGGAGGCAGCAGUGGGGGAUAUUGCACAAUGGGGGAAACCCUGAUGCAGCGACGCCGCGUGGAGGAAGAAGGUUUUCGGAUUGUAAACUCCUGUCGUUAGGGACGAUAAUGACGGUACCUAACAAGAAAGCACCAGCUAACUACGUG
This 468-nucleotide ribosomal RNA is filed under the name uncultured bacterium. RNAcentral's name for it is "partial 16S ribosomal RNA". It matches the Rfam family "Bacterial small subunit ribosomal RNA", at positions 28 to 507 of the family's 1533-position model. The record is from RNAcentral.